GACGAACGCUGGCGGCGUGCUUAACACAUGCAAGUCGAACGGAAAGGCCCUGCUUUUGUGGGGUGCUCGAGGGGCGAACGGGUGAGUAACACGGGAGUAACCUGCCCUUGACUGUGGGAUAACUUCAGGAAACUGGGGAUAAUACCGGAUAGGAGCGCCUGAUGCAUGGUGGGGGUUGGAAAGUUUCGGCGGUUGGGGAUGGACUCGCGGCUUAUCAGCUGGUUGGGGGGGUAGUGGCUUACCAAGGGUUUGGCGGGUGGCCGGCAUGGGAGGGUGGACAGCCACAUUGGGACUGAGAUACGGACCAGACUCCUACGGGAGGCAGCAGUGGGGAAUAUUGCACAGUGGGCGGAAGCCUGAUGAAGCAACGCCGCGUGCGGGAUGACGGCCUUCGGGUUGUAAACCGCUUUCGCCUGUGACGAAGCGUGAGUGACGGUAAUGGGUAAAGAAGCACCGGCUAACUACGUG
RNAcentral lists this ribosomal RNA (468 nucleotides) under uncultured bacterium. Its description in RNAcentral is "partial 16S ribosomal RNA". It matches the Rfam family "Bacterial small subunit ribosomal RNA", at positions 28 to 507 of the family's 1533-position model. The record is from RNAcentral.